This is a small nucleolar RNA of Meriones unguiculatus (Mongolian gerbil), 133 nucleotides long. The record is from Ensembl. Lineage: Eukaryota; Metazoa; Chordata; Mammalia; Rodentia; Muridae.
ACAGUGUCCCAGAGGCCUUGCAGGUGUGGCGGCGGUGUCACACAUGUACUGGUGGGUGGUGGAGGGGAGAGAGGCUAUGUCUAUGCCCAGGGUUCUGACCUGUGAAUAUCUGAAUGAUUGGUAACCUAUCAUU